This 179-nucleotide ribosomal RNA is filed under the name uncultured bacterium. RNAcentral describes it as "partial 16S ribosomal RNA". It matches the Rfam family "Bacterial small subunit ribosomal RNA", at positions 1322 to 1500 of the family's 1533-position model. The record is from RNAcentral.
GAAGCUGGAAUUGCUAGUAAUGGCAGGUCAGCAUACUGCCGUGAAUACGUUCCCGGGCCUUGUACACACCGCCCGUCACACCAUGAGAGUUGGAAAUACCCGAAGCCUGUGAGCUAACUGUAAAGAGGCAGCAGUCGAAGGUAGAGCCAAUGAUUGGGGUGAAGUCGUAACAAGGUACC